This 460-nucleotide ribosomal RNA is filed under the name uncultured bacterium. RNAcentral describes it as "partial 16S ribosomal RNA". It matches the Rfam family "Bacterial small subunit ribosomal RNA", at positions 338 to 795 of the family's 1533-position model. The record is from RNAcentral.
CCUACGGGUGGCAGCAGUGAGGAAUAUUGGUCAAUGGACGAGAGUCUGAACCAGCCAAGUAGCGUGAAGGAUGACUGCCCUAUGGGUUGUAAACUUCUUUUAUAUGGGAAUAAAAUGUUCCACGUGUGGGAUUUUGUAUGUACCAUAUGAAUAAGGAACGGCUAACUCCGUGCCAGCAGCCGCGGUAAUACGGAGGAGCCGAGCGUUAUCCGGCUUUAUUGGGUUUAAAGGGAGCGUAGGUGGAUUGUUAAGUCAGUUGUGAAAGUUUGCGGCUCAACCGUAAAAUUGCAGUUGAAACUGGCAGUCUUGAGUGCAGUAGAGGUGGGCGGAAUUCGUGGUGUAGCGGUGAAAUGCGUAGAUAUCACGAAGAACUCCGAUUGCGAAGGCAGUUCACUGGACUGCAACUGACACUGAGGCUCGAAAGUGUGGGUAUCAAACAGGAUUAGAUACCCGGGUAGUC